UUGGCGCAGUUGGUUAGCGCGCUUCCCCGACACGGAAGAGGUCACUGGUUCGAUCCCAGUACUGCCCACCA
RNAcentral lists this transfer RNA (71 nucleotides) under Alteromonadaceae bacterium. Its description in RNAcentral is "tRNA-Val". It matches the Rfam family "tRNA". Rfam says of the family: Transfer RNA (tRNA) molecules are approximately 80 nucleotides in length. Lineage: Bacteria; Pseudomonadati; Pseudomonadota; Gammaproteobacteria; Alteromonadales; Alteromonadaceae. The record is from RNAcentral.